UUUGAUUAUGGCUCAGAUUGAACGCUGGCGGGAUGCUUUACACAUGCAAAGUCGAACGGCGGCCUGGACUCGGUCUGGUGGCGAGUGGCGAACGGGUGAGUAAUGUCGGAACGUGCCUAGUAGCGGGGGAUAACUACGCGAAAGCGUAGCUAAUACCUUACGCCCUUCGGGGAAAGCGGGGACCUUCGGGCCUCGCAUAAUGAAACGGCCGAUAUCGGAUUGGCUAGUUGGUGAGGUAACGGCUCACCAAGGCGACGAUCCGUAGCUGGUUUGAGAGGACGACCAGCCACACUGGGACUGAGACACGGCGAACUCUACGGGAGGCAGCAGUGGGGAGCACACGGACAAUGGAAACCCUGAUCCAGCCAUCCCGCGUGUGCGAUGAAGGCCUUCGGGUUGUAAAGCACUUUUGGCAGGAAAGAAACGGCACGGGAUAAUACACGUGCAACUGACGGUACCUGCAGAAUAAGCGCAAACGCUCAUUGCCAGCAGCCGCGUGUACGUAGGGUGCAAGCGUUAAUCGGAAUUACUGGGCGUAAAGCGUGCGCAGGCGGUUCGGAAAAGAAGAUGUGAAAUCCCAGAGCUUAACUUUGGAACUGCAUUUUUAACUACCGAGCUAGAGUGUGUCAGAGGGAGGUGAAUUCAGCGACUGUAGCAGUGAAAUGCGUGAUGUGGAGGAACACCGAUGGCGAAAAAGCAGCCUCCUGGGAUAACACUGACGCUCAUGCACGAAAGCGUGGGAGCAAACGAGUUAGAUACCCUGGUAGUCCACGCCUAAACGAUGUCAACUGGCUAUUUGGGGCCUUCGGAGCCUUGGUAGCGCAGCUAACGCGUGAAUUGACCGCCUGGGAAGUACGGUCGCAAGAUUAAACUCAAAGGAAUUGGCAGGACCCGCAGCGGUGGAUGAUGUGGAUUAAUUCGAUGCAACGCGAAAAACCUUACCUACCCUUGACAUGUCUGGAAUCCCGAAGAGAUUUGGGAGUGCUCGCAAGAGAACCGGAACACAGGUGCUGCAUGGCUGUCGUCAGCUCGUGUGCGUGAGAUGUUGGGUUAAGUCCCGCAACGAGCGCAACCCUUGUCAUUAGUUGCUACGAAGGGCACUCUAAUGAGACUGCCGGUGACAAACCGGAGGAAGGUGGGGAUGACGUCAAAGUCCUCAUAGCCCAUAUGGUAGGGCUUCACACGUCAUACAAUGGUCGGGACAGAGGGUCGCCAACCCGCGAAGGGGGCCAAUCCCAGAAACCCGAUCGUAGUCGGAUCGCAGUCUGCAACUCGACUGCGUGAUCGGAAUCGCUAGUAAUCGCGGAUCAGCAUGUCGCGGUAGGAACGUUCCCGGGUCUUGCACACCGCCCGUCACACCAUGGGAGUGGGUUUUUUGCAGAAGUAGUUAAGCUAACCGUAAGGAGGGCGAUUACCACGGUAGGAUUCAUGACUGGGGUGAAGUCGUAACAGGUAG
This 1456-nucleotide ribosomal RNA is filed under the name uncultured Bordetella sp. RNAcentral's name for it is "partial 16S-23S ribosomal RNA intergenic spacer". It matches the Rfam family "Bacterial small subunit ribosomal RNA". The record is from RNAcentral. Lineage: Bacteria; Pseudomonadati; Pseudomonadota; Betaproteobacteria; Burkholderiales; Alcaligenaceae.